ACCGGAUGGGACAUUUCCUAGUACUACGAAUCUGGACAUGCAGUCUGUCCAGAUUCGUAGUACUAGAAAAUGUCACAUCCGGU
This is a microRNA precursor of Oryza rufipogon (brownbeard rice), 83 nucleotides long. It matches the Rfam family "MIR814 microRNA precursor family". Lineage: Eukaryota; Viridiplantae; Streptophyta; Magnoliopsida; Poales; Poaceae. The record is from Rfam.